This 253-nucleotide ribosomal RNA is filed under the name uncultured bacterium. RNAcentral describes it as "partial 16S ribosomal RNA". It matches the Rfam family "Bacterial small subunit ribosomal RNA", at positions 524 to 776 of the family's 1533-position model. The record is from RNAcentral.
GACGUAGGGCGCGAGCGUUGUCCGGAUUUAUUGGGCGUAAAGAGCUCGUAGGCGGUUUGUCGCGUCUGCCGUGAAAGUCCGGAGCUCAACUCCGGAUCUGCGGUGGGUACGGGCAGACUAGAGCGAUGUAGGGGAGACUGGAAUUCCUGGUGUAGCGGUGAAAUGCGCAGAUAUCAGGAGGAACACCGAUGGCGAAGGCAGGUCUCUGGGCAUUAACUGACGCUGAGGAGCGAAAGCAUGGGGAGCGAACAGG